CAGUCGCCACGGUAAUACAGAGGGUGCGAGCGUUAAUCGGAUUUACUGGGCGUAAAGCGUGCGUAGGCGGCUUCUUAAGUCGGAUGUGAAAUCCCUGAGCUUAACUUAGGAAUUGCAUUCGAUACUGGGAAGCUAGAGUAUGGGAGAGGAUGGUAGAAUUCCAGGUGUAGCGGUGAAAUGCGUAGAGAUCUGGAGGAAUACCGAUGGCGGAGGCAGCCAUCUGGCCUAAUACUGACGCUGAGGUACGAAAGCAUGGGGAGCAAACAGGAUUAGAUACCCGAGUAGUCCCUGUCUCUUAUAC
Molecule: ribosomal RNA, 301 nt
Filed under: uncultured bacterium
Lineage: Bacteria
Description: partial 16S ribosomal RNA
Rfam family: Bacterial small subunit ribosomal RNA
Source: RNAcentral